UUCAGGAUAAGGAAACAACGACGCCAAUAAAUUAGAGAGAC
This 41-nucleotide small RNA is filed under the name Arabidopsis thaliana (thale cress). Its description in RNAcentral is "ATSL003170". The record is from RNAcentral. Lineage: Eukaryota; Viridiplantae; Streptophyta; Magnoliopsida; Brassicales; Brassicaceae.